AUUCUAGUAGUUUUAACUAAAACAUUGGUCUUGUAAGCCAAAAAUGAAGAUUGUACUCUCCCUAGAAUA
RNAcentral lists this transfer RNA (69 nucleotides) under Peltocephalus dumerilianus (big-headed amazon river turtle). RNAcentral describes it as "tRNA-Thr". It matches the Rfam family "tRNA". Rfam says of the family: Transfer RNA (tRNA) molecules are approximately 80 nucleotides in length. Their secondary structure includes four short double-helical elements and three loops (D, anti-codon, and T loops). The record is from RNAcentral. Lineage: Eukaryota; Metazoa; Chordata; Testudines; Podocnemididae.